CCUACGGGAGGCAGCAGUGGGGAAUAUUGCGCAAUGGGCGAAAGCCUGACGCAGCGACGCCGCGUGAGGGACGAAGGUCUUCGGGUUGUAAACCUCUUUCAGCAGGGACGAAGCGAAAGUGACUGUACCUGCAGAAGAAGCACCGGCUAACUACGUGCCAGCAGCCGCGGUAAUACGUAGGGUGCAAGCGUUGUCCGGAUUUAUUGGGCGUAAAGAGCUCGUAGGCGGUUUGUCGCGUCGGAUGUGAAAACCCAAUGGCUUAACCUUGGGCCUGCAUUCGAUACGGGCAAACUAGAGUGUGGUAGGGGAGACUGGAACUCCUGGUGUAGCGGUGGAAUGCGCAGAUAUCAGGAAGAACACCGAUGGCGAGGGCAGGUCUCUGGGCCAUAACUGACGCUGAGGAGCGAAAGCGUGGGGAGCGAACAGGAUUAGAUACCCUGGUAGUCCACGCCGUAAACGGUGGGCGCUAGGUGUGGGGAUUGUUUCCACGAUCUCCGUGCCGUAGCUAACGCAUUAAGCGCCCCGCCUGGGGAGUACGGCCGCAAGGCUAAAACUCAAAUGAAUUGACGG
This 570-nucleotide ribosomal RNA is filed under the name uncultured bacterium. Its description in RNAcentral is "bacterial SSU rRNA". It matches the Rfam family "Bacterial small subunit ribosomal RNA", at positions 338 to 916 of the family's 1533-position model. The record is from RNAcentral.